Molecule: ribosomal RNA, 253 nt
Filed under: uncultured prokaryote
Description: partial 16S ribosomal RNA
Rfam family: Bacterial small subunit ribosomal RNA
Source: RNAcentral
ACAGAGGGUGCAAGCGUUAAUCGGAAUUACUGGGCGUAAAGGGUGCGUAGGUGGACUGAUAAGUCGGAUGUGAAAUCCCUGGGCUUAACCUAGGAACUGCAUUCGAUACUGUUGGUCUAGAGUACGGUAGAGGUAAGUGGAAUUUCCGGUGUAGCGGUGAAAUGCGUAGAUAUCGGAAGGAACAUCAGUGGCGAAGGCGACUUACUGGACCGAUACUGACACUGAGGCACGAAAGCGUGGGGAGCAAACAGGA